RNAcentral lists this ribosomal RNA (523 nucleotides) under uncultured bacterium. Its description in RNAcentral is "bacterial SSU rRNA". It matches the Rfam family "Bacterial small subunit ribosomal RNA", at positions 983 to 1509 of the family's 1533-position model. The record is from RNAcentral.
GACAUCCAGAGACUUAGCAGAGAUGCUUGGUGCCUUCGGGAACUCUGAGACAGGUGCUGCAUGGCUGUCGUCAGCUCGUGUUGUGAAAUGUUGGGUUAAGUCCCGNAACGAGCGCAACCCUUAUCCUUUGUGCCAGCGGUUCGGCCGGGAACUCAAAGGAGACUGCCGGUGAUAAACCGGAGGAAGGUGGGGAUGACGUCAAGUCAUCAUGGCCCUUACGGCCAGGGCUACACACGUGCUACAAUGGCGCAUACAAAGAGAAGCGACCUCGCGAGAGCAAGCGGACCUCAUAAAGUGCGUCGUAGUCCGGAUUGGAGUCUGCAACUCGACUCCAUGAAGUCGGAAUCGCUAGUAAUCGUAGAUCAGAAUGCUACGGUGAAUACGUUCCCGGGCCUUGUACACACCGCCCGUCACACCAUGGGAGUGGGUUGCAAAAGAAGUAGGUAGCUUAACCUUCGGGAGGGCGCUUACCACUUUGUGAUUCAUGACUGGGGUGAAGUCGUAACAAGGUAGGCGUAGCGAG